Molecule: ribosomal RNA, 460 nt
Filed under: uncultured bacterium
Lineage: Bacteria
Description: partial 16S ribosomal RNA
Rfam family: Bacterial small subunit ribosomal RNA
Source: RNAcentral
CCUACGGGUGGCAGCAGUGAGGAAUAUUGGUCAAUGGACGAGAGUCUGAACCAGCCAAGUAGCGUGAAGGAUGACUGCCCUAUGGUUUGUAAACUUCUUUUAUAUGGAAAUAAAACAUGGUAUGCAUACCCUCUUGUAUGUACCAUAUGAAUGAGGAUCGGCUAACUGCGUGCCAGAGGCCGCGGUAAUUCGGAGGAACCGCUCGUUGUCCGGAUUAAUUGGGUGUAAAGGGAGCGUAGGUGUAUUGUUAACUCAGUUGUGAAAGUUUGCGGCUCAACCGUAAAAUUGCAGUUGAAACUGGAAGUCUUGAGUACAGUAGAGGUGGGCUGAAUUCGUGGUGUAGCGGUGAAAUGCUUAGAUAUCACGAAGAACUCCGAUUGCGAAGGCAGCUCACUGGACUGCAACUGACACUGAUGCUCGAAAGUGUGGGUAGCAAACAGGAUUAGAUACCCCGGUAGUC